AGAGUUUGAUCCUGGCUCAGAACGAACGCUGGCGGCGUGCUUAACACAUGCAAGUCGAGUGCGCGUUUUCGUAGCAAUACGGAAAUGGCGCACGGCGCACGGGUGCGUAACACGUGGGUAACCUGCCCUUUGGUGGGGAAUAACUUCGCGAAAGCGAAGCUAAUUCCGCAUAAGAUCCGCAAGGAUGAAAGCCGAAAGGCGCCGAUGGAGGGGCCCGCGCACGAUUAGCUAGUUGGUAGGGUAAUGGCCUACCAAGGCUUUGAUCGUUAGCUGGUCUGAGAGGAUGAUCAGCCACACUGGAACUGAGACACGGUCCAGACUCCUACGGGAGGCAGCAGUGGGGAAUCUUGCACAAUGGGCGAAAGCCUGAUGCAGCGACGCCGCGUGGGGGAUGAAGCUUUUCGGAGUGUAAACCCCUUUCGAUCCGGACGAAACCCCGCAAGGGAUUGACGGUACGGAUAUAAGAAGCCCCGGCUAACUACGUGCCAGCAGCCGCGGUAAUACGUAGGGGGCCAGCGUUGUUCGGAAUUACUGGGUGUAAAGGGUUCGUAGGCGGUGCGGCAAGUUGGGAGUGAAAUCUCUGGGCUUAACCCAGAGGCUGCUUUCAAAACUGCUGUGCUUGAGUGUGAGAGAGGCUCGUGGAAUUGCAGGUGUAGCGGUGAAAUGCGUAGAUAUCUGCAGGAACACCCGUGGCGAAAGCGGCGAGCUGGAUCACUACUGACGCUGAGGAACGAAAGCUAGGGGAGCAAACAGGAUUAGAUACCCCCGUAGUCC
RNAcentral lists this ribosomal RNA (774 nucleotides) under uncultured bacterium. RNAcentral describes it as "bacterial SSU rRNA". It matches the Rfam family "Bacterial small subunit ribosomal RNA", at positions 8 to 796 of the family's 1533-position model. The record is from RNAcentral.